UGACCACCACCACUUCAACUGACACUCCAGGACAAAAAGAUGAAGAGGAGAAUGGAUGACCACCACCACUUCAACUGACACUCCAGGACGAAAAGAUGAAGAGGAGAAUGGAUGACCACCACCACUUCAACUGAAACUCCAGGACGAAAAGAUGAAGAGGAGAAAGGAUGACCACCACCACUUCAACUGAUACUCCAGGACGAAAAGAUGAAGAGGAGAAUGGAUGACCACCACCACUUCAACUGAUACUCCAGGACGAAAAGAUGAAGAGGAGAAUGGAUGACCACCACCACUUCAACUGACACUCCAGGACGAAAAGAUGAAGAGGAGAAUGGAUGGAGGGAGGGAGGAAGAGAUUAAUGGCUGGAUGGAGGGAUGAAUGCUGGAGAGGUGACUGAAUAAAGGGAUGAAUGCUGGAGAGGUGACUGGAUGGAGGGAUGAAUGCUGGAGAGGUGACUGGAUAAAGGGAUGAAUGCUGGAGAGGUGACUGGAUAAAGGGAUGAAUGCUGGAGAGGUGACUGGAUAAAGGGAUGAAUGCUGGAGAGGUGACUGGAUAAAGGGAUGAAUGGAUGGAGGGAUGGAAAUGUGCCUGCGUGCAGGUGACACUGUCCAUGUUGAUCGUGGAGAAAUAAAAAUACACGCUUUUAUAAAUCAAUCAAAUAUAUUUUAUAAAGCCUGUUUCACAUCUGCAGCCUGUAUAUGAACUGGAUUUCCACAUCAACACGCACUGACCACUGUCACAAAAAUAAACUAAUUCCCUGGAGAGUGUGGAGCAUGGAUAUAUUUUAAAUAAAAGGUCUCUGUGCCUGUCCCAACAAGGAAAAAGGGUUUUUACCCACUUAGG
This is a long non-coding RNA of Esox lucius (northern pike), 844 nucleotides long. The record is from Ensembl. NCBI's taxonomy places the organism in Eukaryota, Metazoa, Chordata, Actinopteri, Esociformes, Esocidae.